AUUAUUAAUCAAAAAAGCCGUAUCAAAAAUGUAUUUUCAAAUUUUUUUGUACUACUAUAUUUUAUCUAGAGGUAUCAAGCGGAUCAGAAGGUAUAAAAUAAUCAUUGAAAAAAAAUUGUCAUUAUUUUUUAUCACUUUCAAACUAUUUUGAGGGUAUACUGCUCGUAGAUAAUCGGAUACUCCAUAAGAAGAUAGUCGAUCAACCGAUCUUCUUAUGGAAGGAUUGUUACCAAUGUUCGAUUCUCUCAUUAUCCUUUUCUAUUCGGCUCAGACGAACCUACAUUACAAAGAAUGAAAGAAAAUUCUUGGAAAACAAAGAGCUCGAGUUACCACAAAAUUCGAU
RNAcentral lists this small RNA (343 nucleotides) under Arabidopsis thaliana (thale cress). RNAcentral's name for it is "ATSL103860". Lineage: Eukaryota; Viridiplantae; Streptophyta; Magnoliopsida; Brassicales; Brassicaceae. The record is from RNAcentral.